CCGCUGAAAUUUAAGCAUAUAAUUAAGCGGAGGAAAAGAAACUAACCAGGAUUCCCCUAGUAAGGGCGACUGAAGCGGGAAGAGCUCCACCUGAAUCAUUGAAUUGUGGUGUGUUUGCUUACUUAUCCGGUCCAAGUCCCUUGGAAAAGGGCAGCUUAGAGGGUGAGACUCCCGUCGGACUGGAUUGAUUGAAUUAGAGAAUGCGUACAGUUGUGUAUGUGUUUUUUAUUUUAGAUUGAAUCGAAAAGAAGCACUCACGUUGGAGUCGAGUUGUUUGGGAUUGCAGCUCAAAGUGGGUGGUAAAUUCCAUCGAAAGCUAAAUAUUGGUGGGAGACCGAUAGCGUACAAGUACCGUGAGGGAAAGAUGCAAAGAACUUUGAAAAGAGAGUUAAAGAGUACCUGAAAUUGCUGAAAGGGAAGCGAAGGAAACCAGUGUCGCAUUUGUCAUACUUCUUGUUCCGCUUGCGGUCUGAGCGCUGUGGCUGUGCUGGUCAUUCAUGGUUGUUGUCGACGGAAGGUUUACCGCGUUGACAGCGACUGUGUAUGACGAAAUGGUUUUCUUUACCCCGUCUUGAACAACCGGACCAAGGA
This 591-nucleotide ribosomal RNA is filed under the name Cyclophora tenuis. RNAcentral's name for it is "eukaryotic LSU rRNA". It matches the Rfam family "Eukaryotic large subunit ribosomal RNA", at positions 25 to 672 of the family's 3401-position model. Lineage: Eukaryota; Bacillariophyta; Fragilariophyceae; Cyclophorales; Cyclophoraceae. The record is from RNAcentral.